This 465-nucleotide ribosomal RNA is filed under the name uncultured bacterium. Its description in RNAcentral is "partial 16S ribosomal RNA". It matches the Rfam family "Bacterial small subunit ribosomal RNA", at positions 28 to 506 of the family's 1533-position model. The record is from RNAcentral.
GAUGAACGCUGGCGGCGUGCUUAACACAUGCAAGUCGAACGGAAAGGCCCAACCUUGCUUGGGUACUCGAGUGGCGAACGGGUGAGUAACACGUGGGUGAUCUGCCCUGCACUUCGGGAUAAGCCUGGGAAACUGGGUCUACUACCGGAUAGGACCACGUUUUGGAUGGUGUGGUGGAAAGUUUUUCGGUGUGGGAUGAGCUGGCGGCUUAUCGGCUUGUUGGUGGGGUAAUGGCCUACCAAGGCGUCGACGGGUAGCCGGCCUGAGAGGGUGGACGGCCACAUUGGGACUGAGAGAGGGAGCAGACUCCUACGGGAGGCAGCAGUGGGGAAUAUUGCACAAUGGGGGCAAGCCUGAUGCAGCGACGCUGCGUGGGGGAUGACGGCCUUCGGGGUGUAAACUCCUUUCGCCAGGGACGAAGCGUUAUGGAACGGAACCUGGAAAAGAAGCACGGCUUAAUUACGU